RNAcentral lists this ribosomal RNA (669 nucleotides) under Escherichia coli. RNAcentral's name for it is "partial 23S ribosomal RNA". It matches the Rfam family "Bacterial large subunit ribosomal RNA", at positions 591 to 1259 of the family's 2925-position model. Lineage: Bacteria; Pseudomonadati; Pseudomonadota; Gammaproteobacteria; Enterobacterales; Enterobacteriaceae. The record is from RNAcentral.
GUGUGACUGCGUACCUUUUGUAUAAUGGGUCAGCGACUUAUAUUCUGUAGCAAGGUUAACCGAAUAGGGGAGCCGAAGGGAAACCGAGUCUUAACUGGGCGUUAAGUUGCAGGGUAUAGACCCGAAACCCGGUGAUCUAGCCAUGGGCAGGUUGAAGGUUGGGUAACACUAACUGGAGGACCGAACCGACUAAUGUUGAAAAAUUAGCGGAUGACUUGUGGCUGGGGGUGAAAGGCCAAUCAAACCGGGAGAUAGCUGGUUCUCCCCGAAAGCUAUUUAGGUAGCGCCUCGUGAAUUCAUCUCCGGGGGUAGAGCACUGUUUCGGCAAGGGGGUCAUCCCGACUUACCAACCCGAUGCAAACUGCGAAUACCGGAGAAUGUUAUCACGGGAGACACACGGCGGGUGCUAACGUCCGUCGUGAAGAGGGAAACAACCCAGACCGCCAGCUAAGGUCCCAAAGUCAUGGUUAAGUGGGAAACGAUGUGGGAAGGCCCAGACAGCCAGGAUGUUGGCUUAGAAGCAGCCAUCAUUUAAAGAAAGCGUAAUAGCUCACUGGUCGAGUCGGCCUGCGCGGAAGAUGUAACGGGGCUAAACCAUGCACCGAAGCUGCGGCAGCGACGCUUAUGCGUUGUUGGGUAGGGGAGCGUUCUGUAAGCCUGUGAAGGUGU